This 938-nucleotide long non-coding RNA is filed under the name Betta splendens (Siamese fighting fish). RNAcentral describes it as "lncRNA (ENSBSLG00000023980.1)". Lineage: Eukaryota; Metazoa; Chordata; Actinopteri; Anabantiformes; Osphronemidae. The record is from RNAcentral.
GCGCAAAGGAAAACGGCUGUGGUGCUUGUUUACAUCCAGCAUUUACUGGCUUAACGCUAGAAGCUGAGAAGUGGGGAGUGUGGUUCUCAGGAACUUGAACAUGAUUGGCUAGGGGUAACCCUGGCAACGCCAUACUUGGGCAUUUUCCGCCUUGCUUGGGCUGAAACGAGGCUUACGGCCUCUAUCUUGUAGUCUCCGCUUUAGUUUCUGUUUCAAAUCUAGCAAGUUAUGGAGCAAAGAAGUGGAGGAAAAUUAUUUUUCGCUCAGGAGUGGGAGCAGAACACUUGCAGAUUUCGGACCAUUGUGGAUGUACCGUGUUUUUUGGACCGAAAGGCUUUUUUGGAUUAUGCUCGCUGGACCUUAUCGGACAGAAUGAGACCACACUCGACGUGAAUAGACAAUGUUUGGGUUCAGAAGUCGUCAAAAAUGCUGCAGGCGUAAAUAGCUCGAAGCCACCACUCCCAAACAGAAAGACCCGAGGAUUCCGUGUAACUCAUUCAGCCACUGACUUUGCUCCAAAAGGCUUGUGACAAAGUGUCGCCACGUACUGAUCUGCACGGAGGAGAGCUGCUAAUCCAUCAAACUCCUCUUUUGCAUUUCACUGUUAAACCCAAAGCUACAUUAUGUCGUCGCAGUGUAUUUUUUGGUUCUAUACAGUUGAACUUGUUUAAUUAGCAGCCCACAGCCAAGGACGCGCGCAGACGGAAGGUUAAUGGUGAUGUCCUUAUCAAGAACUGACAUUCACAGCUGCCUGUAGAUUAUAUUUCGCUCAGCUGAAGCAGCGCAUCCAUCUGCAGACACAAAACCUGGGCUCCAGCGCUUUACAGCGCGUGGAGGAUUACGCACCUCACGCGAGGAACCUUGAUUAAAUCCCAUGAAAGACUCGAAGGCUCCAUAAACCUUUGUGUUGUGGUUCCAUCGCUGCAGCAGCAGCAUCC